AGCGAACGCUGGCGGCAGGCCUAACACAUGCAAGUCGAACGAACCUUUCGGGGUUAGUGGCGGACGGGUGAGUAACACGUGGGAACGUGCCUUUAGGUUCGGAAUACCUCAGGGAAACUUGUGCUAAUACCGAAUGUGCCCUUCGGGGGAAAGAUUUAUCGCCUUUAGAGCGGCCCGCGUCUGAUUAGCUAGUUGGUUGAGGUAAUGGCUCACCAAGGCGACGAUCAGUAGCUGGUCUGAGAGGCUGAUCAGCCACAUUGGGACUGAGACACGGCCCAAACUCCUACGGGAAGCAGCAGUGGGGAAUCGUGCGCAAUGGGCGAAAGCCUGACGCAGCCAUGCCGCGUGAAUGAUGAAGGUCUUAGGAUUGUAAAAUUCUUUCACCGGGGACGAUAAUGACGGUACCCGGAGAAGAAGCCCCGGCUAACUUCGUG
This 434-nucleotide ribosomal RNA is filed under the name uncultured bacterium. RNAcentral's name for it is "partial 16S ribosomal RNA". It matches the Rfam family "Bacterial small subunit ribosomal RNA", at positions 29 to 507 of the family's 1533-position model. The record is from RNAcentral.